UCACUUGCCUGACACAAAACAUACCAACAUCAAGAAGGUUAUUUUCAUAGGGCAGGGCUUAUCUAUUUUGCUCCCAAUGUGUUGACCCAAGGGUGAUUUCCCCAAAUAUGGGACACUCGAUGGUAUAGUUUAUGGUGUUAAGGGGCUACAAUCACUCUCC
Molecule: small nuclear RNA, 160 nt
Filed under: Peromyscus maniculatus bairdii (prairie deer mouse)
Lineage: Eukaryota; Metazoa; Chordata; Mammalia; Rodentia; Cricetidae
Description: U1 spliceosomal RNA (ENSPEMG00000007541.2)
Source: RNAcentral